This 253-nucleotide ribosomal RNA is filed under the name uncultured bacterium. RNAcentral's name for it is "partial 16S ribosomal RNA". It matches the Rfam family "Bacterial small subunit ribosomal RNA", at positions 524 to 776 of the family's 1533-position model. The record is from RNAcentral.
UACGGAGGGGGCUAGCGUUGUUCGGAAUUACUGGGCGUAAAGCGCGCGUAGGCGGCUUUGUAAGUCAGAGGUGAAAGCCCGGAGCUCAACUUCGGAAUAGCCUUUGAGACUGCAUCGCUUGAAUCCAGGAGAGGUGAGUGGAAUUCCGAGUGUAGAGGUGAAAUUCGUAGAUAUUCGGAAGAACACCAGUGGCGAAGGCGACUUACUGGACACAUAUUGACGCUGAGGUGCGAAAGCGUGGGGAGCAAACAGG